UUGGUAUUUCAAGGGAAGAUGGGCGAUUCCGAACAAUCCUCUGUCCCCAGCAAUGAAGGCAGCGAUGCUGAGGCCAGUGAGGACGACCAACAGCCCACCGCCGCGUAUGGUUGGGGCAGGGAGCCCAGAUACUCUGCUGAGGAGCUGCCAUCGCGUGUAACAAAUGUUGAGGAAGAAGAUGCGUCAGCAGCUGCGUCCGACAGAAGACGAGUAGCUUGGCCACCAGAAUCUCGAUUCGUUUGGGACUCCGACUGGUGCGAGCGUGGACAAAAGUGUAUAGCCAUGCCCAGCCCGCGGGAAUGAUUUUGCUGGUAGGAUGCUGCCGUCGCUGUCGACAAGACGGCCCAAGGUUUCUUGCGUAGCGGACCUCGCAGAUUACGAGAUCGUAUCCUUGCAUUAGGCUGUGCCCAUCACUGCUCUUCGAGGUUAUCUCGACAUGCAGAAGCCGCCAAUGCCAGUGACAGAAGAGUCUGACAUUAGAUCUCUACGCUAUGCGGCACACAGGCAGUACACACUAUGUACACGGCAAAUUGGGCAAGCACGUUCGUUGUCGUCUUCCAGCCUGCGUUGUGAAUACCAUCAGGCAAAGAUAUCCAAAUCCUGCACCACCUCAGCCUUCUCAGGAGGCUUCCACCUGGAGUUUGGCAGGGAAACACGCUUCUCCAAGGCAGGAACAUGGAGGUUGCCAUUUGCAACCGCUACCACCUCACACAUGAGCUUGUCAACAUACUCAUAGCUCUUUCUGUCGUAUAAUUUUCUAUUUGGCCACAGUCUUCUUUAUGCUUUGAGAACUGGACUUUAUACCUUCC
This is a long non-coding RNA of Sycon ciliatum, 809 nucleotides long. RefSeq lists it as uncharacterized. NCBI's taxonomy places the organism in Eukaryota, Metazoa, Porifera, Calcarea, Leucosolenida, Sycettidae. The transcript has 2 exons. The record is from RefSeq and is a predicted model, not a curated record.